UACAGAGGUCUCGAGCGUUAGGCGGAAUCACUGGGCUUAAAGCGUGUGUAGGCGGAUUGGUAAGUACCUUGUGAAAUCCCACGGCUCAACCGUGGAACUGCUCGGUAUACUGCCUGUCUUGUGCAACCUAGGGGCGAGCGGAACAGAUGGUGGAGCGGUGAAAUGCGUAGAUAUCAGGAGGAACACCGGUGGCGAAGGCGGGUCUCUGGGCCGAAACUGACGCUGAGGAGCGAAAGCGUGGGGAGCAAACAGG
Molecule: ribosomal RNA, 253 nt
Filed under: uncultured bacterium
Lineage: Bacteria
Description: partial 16S ribosomal RNA
Rfam family: Bacterial small subunit ribosomal RNA
Source: RNAcentral